GAUGAACGCUGGCGGCGUGCCUAAUACAUGCAAGUCGAGCGAACAGACGAGGAGCUUGCUCCUCUGACGUUAGCGGCGGACGGGUGAGUAACACGUGGAUAACCUACCUAUAAGACUGGGAUAACUUCGGGAAACCGGAGCUAAUACCGGAUAAUAUAUUGAACCGCAUGGUUCAAUAGUGAAAGACGGUUUUGCUGUCACUUAUAGAUGGAUCCGCGCCGCAUUAGCUAGUUGGUAGGGUAACGGCUUACCAAGGCAACGAUGCGUAGCCGACCGGAGAGAGGGAUAGGCCACACGGGAACUGAAACAGGGACCAGACUCCUACGAGAGGCAGCAGUAGGGAAUCUUCCGCAAUGGGCGAAAGCCUGACGGAGCAGCGCCGCGUGAGUGAUGAAGGUCUUCGGAUCGUAAAACUCUGUUAUUAGGGAAGAACAAAUGUGUAAGUAACUAUGCACGUCUUGACGGUACCUAAUCAGAAAGCCACGGCUAACUACGUG
This 497-nucleotide ribosomal RNA is filed under the name uncultured bacterium. RNAcentral's name for it is "partial 16S ribosomal RNA". It matches the Rfam family "Bacterial small subunit ribosomal RNA", at positions 28 to 507 of the family's 1533-position model. The record is from RNAcentral.